GGCUGGAUGGCCGAGUGGUCUAAGGCGCUGCGUUCAGGCCGCAGUCCUAGCGGGCGUGGGUUCGAAUCCCACUUCAGUCA
Molecule: non-coding RNA, 80 nt
Organism: Eimeria tenella
Lineage: Eukaryota; Apicomplexa; Conoidasida; Eucoccidiorida; Eimeriidae
Source: Rfam